Molecule: unclassified non-coding RNA, 384 nt
Filed under: Hevea brasiliensis (rubber tree)
Lineage: Eukaryota; Viridiplantae; Streptophyta; Magnoliopsida; Malpighiales; Euphorbiaceae
Source: RNAcentral
CGAGGAAUCAAUCAACGCGAUAGAGAGAGAAGAGAUAAAGGGGGAAUAAAAAAGACAUCUCCUGCUUGCAUACGUAAAAUAGCUCUGCAGAAUCUCAUAUCCAGAGAGAGAGAGAGAGGAAUGCACGGAUGCAAGUGUUUUCUGGGAUUAUCAUACUUGUUCACUGAAUCAAAAAUAAAUGAAUGACACGUUUUAUCUGAAGAUCAUUUCUGCUGCUGGAUUCUCGCUUAUUUUUAUUUCUUAGCCCUUCUUAAAUCUUGCUGUACAAAGCCAUUCUUAACUCUUGCUGUACAGAGCCAUUCUCAUGGCUGGUAGUAAUGAAGUCAAGCAAAAUGAAUCCAAGAGGGUAGUUCCGCUGAACACAUGGGUCCUCAUCUCUAAUUU